This 208-nucleotide unclassified non-coding RNA is filed under the name Glomeraceae sp. Its description in RNAcentral is "partial contains 5.8S ribosomal RNA and internal transcribed spacer 2". The stretch from base 1 to 71 matches the Rfam family "5.8S ribosomal RNA", at positions 84 to 154 of the family's 154-position model. The record is from RNAcentral. Lineage: Eukaryota; Fungi; Glomeromycota; Glomeromycetes; Glomerales; Glomeraceae.
GUGAAUCAUCAAAUUUUUGAACGCAAAUUGCGCUUUCUGGCAUCCCGGGAAGUAUGCCUGUUUGAGGGUCAGUAUUAUUAAAAACUCGGUUUAGUUUCAAAUUGUCACGUUUCCGGAGUUUGUGCUAUCUUAACGUUUUGGGUUAAGAGGCUUAAAAUUGACCUUUUUGGCGCAUGUUUAAACGUACAUAUAUUUUUUUUAUUCGUCU